This is a transfer RNA of Treponema saccharophilum DSM 2985, 72 nucleotides long. It matches the Rfam family "tRNA". From Rfam's summary of the family: Transfer RNA (tRNA) molecules are approximately 80 nucleotides in length. Their secondary structure includes four short double-helical elements and three loops (D, anti-codon, and T loops). The record is from Rfam. NCBI's taxonomy places the organism in Bacteria, Pseudomonadati, Spirochaetota, Spirochaetia, Treponematales, Treponemataceae.
GCGGGAAUAGCACAGUGGUAGUGCGCCACCUUGCCAAGGUGGAUGUCGUGGGUUCGAUCCCCAUUUCCCGCU